This 423-nucleotide long non-coding RNA is filed under the name Numida meleagris (helmeted guineafowl). RNAcentral's name for it is "lncRNA (ENSNMEG00000022970.1)". Lineage: Eukaryota; Metazoa; Chordata; Aves; Galliformes; Numididae. The record is from RNAcentral.
AUGCUGGGAUCUGGAAGAUUUUCAAGGAGGAAGCUGGACUUUGAGACAGUGCUGAGGAGAAUUCUAAUGCAAUUCAAAUUAUUUUCUAUUAAGUCCACGGCAAAGACCUGUUUGCUUAAAAUGUUGGAAUUCUGCCUGCACACUCCUCUGCUGAAUAAAUCCUUGUGUAGUCUGUUCCAAACAGGUUCCUAUGCUCGCCUGCCCACUUCAUCCGGGCUGGAAUCCAGCUGACAAGUACUCAGAGGGGCUGGAGGUGGAAUCCAGUUUGGAUGACAGUUGCUAAAAACUCAUUUAUUUUCCAGGCAGUAACAUUUAUUUAAUUUCCAUUUUAAUAGACUGUUAUUUCAAAUAUUAAUCAACCUACCUGCUACCUUCAAGCAUCUCUCAUUCUAGGCACAAAAUAAAGAAAAAUACUUGCUGUCA